Molecule: long non-coding RNA, 2615 nt
Organism: Homo sapiens (human)
Lineage: Eukaryota; Metazoa; Chordata; Mammalia; Primates; Hominidae
Gene: BDNF-AS
Product: BDNF antisense RNA
Source: Ensembl
UCGCGAGAUCAGGAAGGUGGCCGAGUGUGUCGCCGCGGCCAUCAGGAUUUUUGAGCCACUUCUGAAAUUUUCGCGAACCAAGAAGAAUUUUAGUACUUGGAUUUGACUAACAUUUAUCCAAGCCCUUAGUCUGUACUGAUACUGUGGAGACUACAGAAGCCAAGAAAUCCCAUAAUUUGCUGUCUUCAAGUGGGAGACCCAGAAAAGAUGCUUUAGUUCCAGUCCAAGCAUGAAGAACCAAGGCCUGAGAACCAGAAGAGCCUCUGGUGCAUAGAUAAGGAAGAAAAAAGUUUUGGAAACUACUUCUGAGAGGGAAAAAUAUGCCUGAAAUUAACCAACAGCCAGCUUGUACUUAACAUACAAAAUAAACAAAAGAAUCAACUAUUGUGUAAGGAGAGAACCCCGAAAUGUUCCUCGUUAAUCGAAAUUCAAGAGUAUUAGCGUCGGGAAAGAUCUAGAGAGUCAACUCCCUCAUAUUAAAGAAGAGAAGAUGGAUUGCUGUCCUACAUUCAAAGGAGGCCAUUAGGAGCAUGAACCAAGGGAAGCUGGUUUUCCUUCUAUGCCUCUGCCAGGUUAUUAAAUCACCAGGCCUCCUAAUCAAGAAUUGCUCUUCGUGUGGAAGAACUCCUCUUCACCUGUUGCUUCCUCAUAUUAUUUCCUGCCUCAGAGAUGUAGAGGAACUGUAAAAUUAGAAUAGGAUGUUUGGGUCUAGACAAAUCCCAGUGAAAGCUAAAUUAUGGAAAUUUAGUCUUUGUAUAACAAAUGAAAACCCUAAGUAGGCUGCCAAGGUACAAAAGCUUUCUUAACCCGAGACAUUGCAAAUACAACGUACUAAGUGAAAAAAGGAGUGGGUGGGGAACAGUGGGAGUAGAAGGCUGUCUAAAGGGAAGCUAGGAAAAUGGAAAGUAAUAUGGAGAAGCAACAUGCUCCAAGUGGAGUGUUUUACUAUUUCAUUGCCUGUUGAACUGUACACAAAUAGGCACUACUACAUAAAAUAGCUAUUUGAAACAGUUAUGCCAUUGCAGGGUAGAACAUUACUCUCAAGUAAAGGCUUCUAACUGUACAAUUAAAGUCUCAAUCUUCUUUUUUUAACAGAAUUUCUCUGAUGUACUCAGCAAAGUAAAAUUUUGAAUAGAUUAUUUUAUUUGAAGUGAAUGAUAUUGUCAAAUGUUAAAGAGUCUGCAUUUUAAAAUAAUUUAAACAAUAUAUAAAAACACUUGGCCUAAUUAAGUAAUCAUAACAGUAUGGAAAAAUCUCUUCAAGAGCACCUUUGAAGGGAAAUUUUAUCACAGAUCUCAGAUCAGAACAUAGAAACCCAUCUGUGAGUUCCAGAGAUCUAACAUAAACCCUACUUUUCCUUGUAGGAUGAGUUGCAGAUUCUAUUAAAGUGUAAGGGUUGACUUUUUUAAUGUCACUUGUUUCAUCAUCACUCUGUAGUACAUGUAAAGGCACAGAUUGAUGUAUUUUUCUGGCAUCUUCCUGACGCACCCUUGCCCUAUAUAAAUCGGUUUGCCAGGAUCUUGUUGCUUAAAUUAGCGAUUGCAAACUCUUGGUCCUGCCAACACAGCCGAUUGUGCCAAGGUUCUCAGCAUCUACUGGCACAUGAACUGUUGCCUUUUCUUUGGCUUUCUGCAUGUACCUGGGGCCAUCAUCCUUCCUUCACAAAGCAGCAGUCUGGCUUAGUUGUCCCUGAGAAAGACUUCAGGAUUGGUUGGACUCAACUCUGGCCCUCUUCAGGUUGUGCAUCCUGCACAAUGUAUUUUCAGCCACACAAUGUAUUGUUCAGGAUUUGUCGUGCACAUACUUGCAGAUUGGCAGAGCCAACUGCCAGAGAUGAGAACCUUUUAAGUUGUUGUCAAACGUCAUAAAAUGUGUUCCGUGAUUAAUUUUGUGGGCACAGAUUGGUUUUUGCACAGAGUCCAAAAUUUAGGAUAUGUCACAGUGACUAAAUGGCACCGGCAUGCUGAAUGAAUUUGGAAUUUGUUUUGUCAAGUGUGGGAGCAGGCACACAGAUGGGCUUUGAUCCAGUGGUGCUGCUUGGAAUUCUCAUUAUAGCAAUGAUGUCACUUGUCACGUGGAGUAAGUGAUAAUGCUGCCAAAUUGUGGAAAAAGCAAGGCAAAUAGGAAAGUACACAGACCAAGAGAAAGGACUUAGGUAGCACAGUAAGCUUUCACUAUCAGAUGAAUGGACAUAAACAUUGCUUUUGGGCUGCCAAAAAUAUGCAUAGUAAAAAUACAGGCAGAAAGGAAAACUUCCAACUGAAAGGGCCCUUAAAGUAGGGCCCCUGUAAUCCAAGAAGUCUUCACUUCUUAGAGAAAAUCAAGUAAAGCAAACAUGUCCUUGAUUUUUAUAUUAGGCUAUGAAAGAAAUUUCUGAGCUGCAAUCAAGAGUCUUUCUGCAAUAUCUAACCAAACCAAAGCCAAAGUAUUUUGCUUUAUAAAAAAAACCUUUGUCUAUGAAGAAGAUCAGCAGUCAUGCUGGGAAAUUGAAAAAAACAAAAACCUUAUAGUGGCAAAGAAGUACAGUAUACUCUCACCAAGCAUGCACAUCAGAAUUCUCUGUAGGGCUUUAAAAAUAUAUUCUUGAUGCAGCUACAGCAGUGCUUAGAGGGAAA